GCCUCCGGUGGGUUAGUCUGGUAGACCGGAGGUCGUGGGUUCGAUUCCCACCUGAGGCA
This 59-nucleotide transfer RNA is filed under the name Lucilia cuprina (Australian sheep blowfly). It matches the Rfam family "tRNA". From Rfam's summary of the family: Transfer RNA (tRNA) molecules are approximately 80 nucleotides in length. Their secondary structure includes four short double-helical elements and three loops (D, anti-codon, and T loops). Further hydrogen bonds mediate the characteristic L-shaped molecular structure. tRNAs have two regions of fundamental functional importance: the anti-codon, which is responsible for specific mRNA codon recognition, and the 3' end, to which the tRNAs corresponding amino acid is attached (by aminoacyl-tRNA synthetases). tRNAs cope with the degeneracy of the genetic code in two manners: having more than one tRNA (with a specific anti-codon) for a particular amino acid; and 'wobble' base-pairing, i.e. permitting non-standard base-pairing at the 3rd anti-codon position. Lineage: Eukaryota; Metazoa; Arthropoda; Insecta; Diptera; Calliphoridae. The record is from Rfam by way of RNAcentral.